RNAcentral lists this ribosomal RNA (433 nucleotides) under uncultured bacterium. Its description in RNAcentral is "partial 16S ribosomal RNA". It matches the Rfam family "Bacterial small subunit ribosomal RNA", at positions 29 to 507 of the family's 1533-position model. The record is from RNAcentral.
AACGAACGCUGGCGGCAUGCCUAACACAUGCAAGUCGAACGAGACCUUCGGGUCUAGUGGCGCACGGGUGCGUAACGUGUGGGAACCUGCCCUUAGGUUCGGAAUAACUCCCCGAAAGGGGUGCUAAUACCGGUUAAUGUCUUCGGACCAAAGAUUUAUCGCCUUUGGAUGGGCCCGCGUUGGAUUAGCUAGUUGGUAGGGUAAAAGCCUACCAAGGCGACGAUCCAUAGCUGGUCUGAGAGGAUGAUCAGCCACACUGGGACUGAGACACGGCCCAGACUCCUACGGGAGGCAGCAGUGGGGGAUAUUGGACAAUGGGCGAAAGCCUGAUCCAGCAAGGCCGCGUGAGUGAUGAAGGCCUUAGGGUUGUAAAGCUCUUUGACCCGGGAUGAUAAUGACAGUACCGGGAGAAUAAGCUCCGGCUAACUCCGUG